GAUGAAGAACGUAGCGAAAUGCGAUAAGUAGUGUGAAUUGCAGAAUUCAGUGAAUCAUCGAAUCUUUGAACGCACAGUGCGCCCCUUGGUAUUCCAUGGGGCAUGCCUGUUCGAGCGUCAUUUGUACCUUCAAGCUCUGCUUGGUGUUGGGUGUUUGUCUCGCCUCUGCGUGUAGACUCUCCUCGAAACAAUUGGCAGCCGGCGUAUUGAUUUCGGAGCGCAGUACAUCUCGCGCUUUGCACUCAUAACGACGACGUCCAAAAGUACAUUUUUACACUCUUGACCUCGGAUCAGGUAGGGAUACCCGCUGAACUUAAGCAUAUCAAUAAGCGGAGGA
Molecule: unclassified non-coding RNA, 337 nt
Filed under: soil metagenome
Description: partial contains 5.8S ribosomal RNA, internal transcribed spacer 2, and large subunit ribosomal RNA
Rfam family: 5.8S ribosomal RNA (bases 1-120)
Source: RNAcentral